This is a long non-coding RNA of Schistocerca nitens (vagrant locust), 2518 nucleotides long. RefSeq lists it as uncharacterized. The record is from RefSeq and is a predicted model, not a curated record. The transcript has 5 exons. Lineage: Eukaryota; Metazoa; Arthropoda; Insecta; Orthoptera; Acrididae.
AACCGGCCACGCUAAUGGCGUGUAUGGCUAUACGACGGACUGAAUUUUAAUAUUUGUUAGUGGCAACAGGCCUUGGCACGUGUUUCUAUUGAACAAUAGCAGUGACAUGAAAGCAACGGCAGGAGCUGAGGCAACUUGUUCAAUUUCCAAACUGAUAAAGUUACGUGAGUAGUUGAUACUCUCGACACCACAGAGUUUCAUCCCAACAACAGCAGUUAAUUGGAUGUGUCUCCAGUUUUCGUUGCAUUAAUGACGGCAUUGAAGAAACAUACGUGACGUUUUGUUGGUUUGAAUAUCAACUACGGCGAUGUGAAUGACAGAAGCAAUUGCUUGACAGUGUUGUGCUUCCAACGUGAAUUGUUAGAUCUGCUGUGUGGAGUAUAUGAAGGUGAAGCAAGAGCCAGUGGGUGCUGCAUCGUUGGCUGCAGCUGCUUCCUUUAUUAGCUGGGGAGAGUAGAGAUAAUUGAACAUGUGGGAUACAUAAGCCACUCAUGUUCUCUCAACUUUAGGUUUGAAAGUCUCACUUGGCACCAUUAAAUCUAAUUGUGGGGCUGGGUCUACAUACAACAAGAGGCAAUUAGUUCUGCAUUUUCAGGAAAAUGUUCUGUGAGCUAUAAUGGACCGUCAAGUAGAUGCCAGGUUGUGACAACGGUCGGUGAUGGAGUUACUCUUAGAGACCGGCGAUGACUCUGCCACAUCGAUUCACAGGAAGUUGCGCCCUGUUUGUGGGGAGGACACACUGGAUCGCAACAGUAUCCAGCGGUGGUUGCAGAGGUUUAAAGAAGGUGAUUUCUCUCCACUGGACAGUCCACGGUGUAGAUCAUCGACGGCAGUGAGUGAUGUGAAUUAGACCAUUGAUCAAAUCGUCCAAAAUGACAGAUGUGUGACAAUACAACAGCUUGCUGAAAUGACUUUUGUCAUUGGGUAGUGUGGUAUCACUGGUACAGUCACUAGGGUACAGAAAAACCUGUGCACUUUGGGUGCCCAGAUUAUUGACAAGAGAAAUGAAAACUAUGAGGAAGAAUGUGUGUGAGGGUCUCAUGAAGACCUUUACUGAAGAGUGGAAACAGUGUUCUGGGUCCCUCUUGGAAGAAGAAACCAAGACUUUCACGAACAGCAGGCCGAAAGGUGAUGCCCUCCUCCUUCUGGGCUUUGUGUGAUGUCAUUUUCAUUGACUUUUUGGAAGCUGGCUCCAUAAUUAACUGGGACUGUUACUGUUUGUCAUCGGACAAGCUGCGACAUAUCAUCAAGACUAACAGACGACAGCUUCAGGGUCAGCUCAUCAGACUACACCAUGACAUUGCCAAACCCCAUACAGGAGAAAAUCGGGAAAAUGGGUUAGAAAGUUGUUCCUCAUCCUCCCUACAGCCCGGACUUGGCUCCGUGUGAUUUUUACUACUUUGGUCAUCUGAAGGCCCAUCUGUGCGGUAAAACAUUUGAUAUUGAGAAACACUUUAUUUCCUGUGACAAGCGAUGGUGUACAAGUCAGUCCCCAGAAUUUUACCAAAGUGAAUUUACAUAUUGGAAAAAAAUGUUGGGCCAGAUGCGUCACAGCUGAUGGAGGCUACAUUGAGUAGGCUCAAUGUAUAGAUAAAUGUUCCAAGUACGUUCACAAAAAAUUUCAUUCUCCUCCUGCAAAAAAUAAAAAAAAAUUAGAGACUACUGUGCAAAACUUUUUGUAAUGCCCUUUGUAUUUUGAUGAAUAUGCUAAUUCCUUCUCUACUUGGAAAUAUAGUGUCCUCUGAAGGUGAGCCCUUAGUUAGAGGGACUUCCAUUAAGCAGAUAUACCUAUCAGCUGUUUUCAAUCUAAGAAUAGGUGCAGCUCUAACACCAACUACUACAGGAAUUUUUUCACGAGAGAUCCCACCACCACCCACUAUACUGUCACCUAUUAGCUUUGCCAGCCUCCCGUUCCCAUACCUAUUGCCAACUGGCACCACUGAAAUUUGACCCAUGCCCUCUGCCAUCAGCACCCUCUCCAGCCACAUGUUAAUGCGCCUAACAGUCACAUUAAGAUGAGGCCAAUCAUGAUGCUGAAACAACUGCACAAAAUGCACAUUAGUGCCACCAGUUUGAGUAGAUAUCUUUACCAGGUCACCAUCUACAUCAUAUUCCCCGUCCCUAUCAAGACUGUUCCCUGCUUCAUCCACUAUCACUACCUGAUCCUCCUAGUUAAAAUUCCUACAUUACUCCACUAUGCUGUCACUCACCUGAGCCAACCCUGCACUAGGCUUCAUAAUGCUGGUGACCUGGUACUUACUCCCCAACACUUCCUGCAACUACUGGCCCAAACAUCUACCAUGUGAACUACCUAGCAGCAGAAUCUUCUUCUUUCUGUUAGACUGACUGGCAGCUGGCCUCUGCCAUGUGACUUGCUGAAAUGUCUAAUUGCACAGUUGCUGUAAUCAAAGUAUAUAGAUUACUGCUAAAGCUUCCAAAUCUUAACGAAAAGCAUUGGUGAAUACUCAACCAAAUAAUCUUGAAAAAGUGAUUCACAACCUUAAACUGUUUCAUUACA